AUGUUUAUUGUGAAGACUAUAUGUUGCAAUUUCUAUCCGUUGAUUCAACUUGUCUAUCUAUUUAUCAAGAUGCUAACGGAUGUCACCCUCUUCAGGAUGGCUCCGCCAACGCGUCAGAAUCCAGAUCGCAAUGAUGGGAGUCAGGCGAACCCUCCACCUCCAAUUCCGCCUCCGGAGGCUUGGCAUGCUUUGAUGGCAGCCUCUAACGCCAAUGCUCAGAUGAUGAUCCAGCUCAUGCAUGAGCGCAACCAAGGCCAAGGCAACCAAGGGAAUCAAGGUCAAGGGCAGUUCAAUCAUCAGCCUCAGUUUCCAACCCUCAACCAAUUCCUUGCAAAU
RNAcentral lists this ribosomal RNA (336 nucleotides) under Triticum aestivum (bread wheat). RNAcentral's name for it is "partial small subunit ribosomal RNA". The record is from RNAcentral. Lineage: Eukaryota; Viridiplantae; Streptophyta; Magnoliopsida; Poales; Poaceae.